CAGAGGCAUUAAGUAGUGUUAUUGUUUGAGCUCUGAUUUAAAUGUGUAUAAUGUGCUUUGAUUAUGAUCUGUCCCUCUUAACCCACAGUUUCCUGAUAUUCUUCAACAAACAGCUUGGAGGAUGGCUGGGAGCCGACUCCCUAAAGAGUUCCUCUGGGCUGUCUUUGAGUCUGUUCGGAACAGCAGUGAGGAGAACCCUAACUUUCAUGCCAUCCCUGGUUGCCAUGGAGUCUCUGCUCCCUCUUUUGAUAACAUCUUCAAGUUGGCCGAGGCCAAUGCCUGCUGGGCACCCGAGGUCCUCCGCUGCAUGGGAGAAGACACUUUCAUCAGGAACGUGGAGCUGCUGGGCACUGUCAGAGGAUUCAGCCGGCCCCAGCUGAUGGUCCUGAAGGAGAAGGCGAUCCAGGUCUGGGCUUCGCCUUCCCGCUGGAGAGGACACCACGUGGUCUCCCUGGGCCGGAUCGCUCUGGCUCUUAAUGAGAGUGAGCUGGGACAGCUGGACCUCAGCUCCAUCGACACCGUGGCUUCUCUGAGCCAGCUGACAGGGUGGACCUUAGGGCAGGAUGGUGGUGGGCAGAAUUGGGACCUUGCCCUGUAG
RNAcentral lists this long non-coding RNA (598 nucleotides) under Fukomys damarensis (Damara mole-rat). RNAcentral's name for it is "lncRNA (ENSFDAG00000022832.1)". Lineage: Eukaryota; Metazoa; Chordata; Mammalia; Rodentia; Bathyergidae. The record is from RNAcentral.